AAUCCCCCAUUUACGUACUAUUCAAAAUCUCAUAUCACAAUCUCUCUCUCUCUCUCUCACCAAAAUCGAAAGUUUGCACCUUCUUGUCAAGAAUUCUGCUGCGCCACUGCAACUCUGAAAAUUCAGCGACGUCGUGUCUUCCUCUGGAAUCGACAUCCCUCACCAAUCAUCGUCACACACCGAGGUCUUCGCUUUCAAAUGAUCGCCUCUGCUUUUAGGAUUUCUGGACCGAAUUCGGCUUGCGACCGACCAAGAAUGAUCGGCGACCACUGCUCGAUUUUGAGAAUGAGGUUGUGUUCAACCAUGACUUUGAGAAGAUGGAGGGCAUGGAACGGCGGCCAAUCGCCGGUCUUCUAGAGGCGGCGAUUGGACUGGCUGUGGACGGAGUUCUCGAUCGAACUGGCUAUGGACGGAGUUUUCGUCAAAUUGAAUGAGCAAUUUUAGAAUUUAGGGGAUAUUCAUGCGUCCAGUAAAUCUGAAUAUAUCUGUUCAUUUAGAUAUUGUGUCCUGUUCAUUUAUAAAUUAUUUUAUGUUCAUUUA
Salvia miltiorrhiza (redroot sage) is the source of this 540-nucleotide long non-coding RNA. RefSeq lists it as uncharacterized. NCBI's taxonomy places the organism in Eukaryota, Viridiplantae, Streptophyta, Magnoliopsida, Lamiales, Lamiaceae. The transcript is spliced from 2 exons. The record is from RefSeq and is a predicted model, not a curated record.